GAAAGUAAAAGUCGUAACAAGGUUUCCGUAGGUGAACCUGCGGAAGGAUCAUUAUUGUAUAACCGAGGUGCGGGGGCUGUCGCUGACCCGAAAGGUCGUGCACGCCCGAGUGCCCUCACACACAUCCAUCUCACCCCUAUGUGCACCACCGCGUGGGUCCCCCUUUGGCUUGUUCGGAGGGGGGCUUACGUUUUCACACAAACUUUGUAUGCAGUGUAGAAUGUAUUUUUUGUUUUUGCGAUCACGCAAUCAAUACAACUUUCAACAACGGAUCUCUUGGCUCUC
This 285-nucleotide unclassified non-coding RNA is filed under the name plant metagenome. Its description in RNAcentral is "partial contains small subunit ribosomal RNA, internal transcribed spacer 1, and 5.8S ribosomal RNA". The stretch from base 1 to 54 matches the Rfam family "Eukaryotic small subunit ribosomal RNA", at positions 1778 to 1831 of the family's 1831-position model. The record is from RNAcentral.